RNAcentral lists this signal recognition particle RNA (273 nucleotides) under Candidatus Woesearchaeota archaeon. RNAcentral describes it as "signal recognition particle sRNA". It matches the Rfam family "Archaeal signal recognition particle RNA". The record is from RNAcentral. Lineage: Archaea; Nanobdellati; Candidatus Woesearchaeota.
UUUUAGGCUAGGUUGGGCGGUUAGCUCUCGCUUGUAGCCAUAAACGAGCUAUAUGAUGGAACCGAAUGCCCAAUUGAGGCUUUGAGCUUGGUUGUUAGUCUUAAUCCAACUUAAGAUCUUCUGUCUCAUGGGGUCGGUAUUUUUGAGAACCAGGUCAGGUCCGGAAGGAAGCAGCCUUAAACUUAAGUAUUGGCGUCUAUGAUAAAUAGAAGGGAGGGAAGGUUAAGGUCAAACUAAUAAUUAAGUUCUUUGUCGAUUUUGGGAAGCCUACUA